Molecule: non-coding RNA, 351 nt
Organism: Ciona intestinalis (vase tunicate)
Lineage: Eukaryota; Metazoa; Chordata; Ascidiacea; Phlebobranchia; Cionidae
Source: RefSeq, a predicted model, not a curated record
ACAUUCAUUCAUUCAUUCACAAUUAUUUAUUGUUACCACUUUUCCCUUGUUAAACCUCGUUUCAUUUAUAGAUUAAGCCCAGUUUACUUGAAAACAAUUUAACACCUAAUGCUAGUGAAAAAUCCACUAGCUAUGACAUACACCAACCCCUAACCACAUCUGUAAUGUUUUGCAUUAUUUUUCAGUUUUCGCCAUGCAUUACAAGAGGACUGUAUACUGGUACCCAAUAAAAUCAUAUUGUGAAAUAAAUAAUGACGAAGUGUUUGUUGUGAAAGUUGCAAGAAAUGAUAAAAAGGGGAAUUUACUAUUGAAACCUAAUUGCACAAUCUGCUACAAACUUUUAUAACAAAA